Molecule: transfer RNA, 65 nt
Filed under: Dipodomys ordii (Ord's kangaroo rat)
Lineage: Eukaryota; Metazoa; Chordata; Mammalia; Rodentia; Heteromyidae
Rfam family: tRNA
About the family: Transfer RNA (tRNA) molecules are approximately 80 nucleotides in length. Their secondary structure includes four short double-helical elements and three loops (D, anti-codon, and T loops).
Source: Rfam by way of RNAcentral
GUUGGCUCAGUGAUAGAGUGCUUGCCUUGCAAGCAUGAGGCCCUGGGUUCAAUACCUCAGCAACA